This is a small nucleolar RNA of Myripristis murdjan (pinecone soldierfish), 115 nucleotides long. Ensembl annotates it as small nucleolar RNA SNORD67. Lineage: Eukaryota; Metazoa; Chordata; Actinopteri; Holocentriformes; Holocentridae. The record is from Ensembl.
UGUGAGAGUGAUGAGUUGCACUGUUCAGUUGGGGUGUUGGUUGCAGUGGCACUGACACCUCAAUCUGACUAUACCUGAGGACACACUAAAGUGCACAGGGGCCAUCUGACUCAAC